This 848-nucleotide long non-coding RNA is filed under the name Anas platyrhynchos platyrhynchos (common mallard). Its description in RNAcentral is "lncRNA (ENSAPLG00000024521.1)". The record is from RNAcentral. Lineage: Eukaryota; Metazoa; Chordata; Aves; Anseriformes; Anatidae.
GCAGAGCCAGCUUCAGUUAGCUCCAGUUUCAGCAUAGCAGCUUGCUGAAGGCUAUGAAAGGGUCGUGUUUUUUCCUGUCUGCCGUAUCCAUGUCAGGGGCCUGGAGAGCCAACUGACUCUCCUGUCAGACAUGGGAAGAAUUCCUUAUGUCCCGGAGCUUCCUGUUUUUGUUUUUGUUUUUUUUUCCUAUUUUAUCUCCCAUUGGCAAAAAUGUGCUGGUCACAGGCUCAGAGCUACGCUUCGGGACCGGAAGAGAUCAUCUCUAGAUGGCUGCAACUUCACAAGGUGUCAAGAAUCAAAGAUUCAGCAACCAAAAGUAACAUAAACCACAAUAAAUUAUUUGUUUGUGAAAAGUCAAGCAGGAAAUCAAACCUGGGAUACAAUCUCCAGGAACUGAACUUACUCUCUUAAUUCUUAUCUGUUCCUUCCCCUCUCUGAUUACAGCUUGUUGUACUGCAUAUCCCUCAUCUUUUGGCAACUAAGGGUGGAGUUAAAGGUUUCCCAGCAGCUCUUGGAAAUGCUAUAGAGAACAGAAUGAUUACAUGAAUCAAAACAUCAGAGAGAAACAAAAUACUUUUAAGAACAAAGAUGAAGCUUCUGUGGUCCAAUUUCUCUUGCCAGCAAAAUGUUCAAAGAAAAUUUACAAGAAACAAAGCUGGUUUUUGCUUCUGUUUUUUUUUGUUUGUUUGUUUGUUUGUUUGUUGUUUUGUUUUUGUUUUUGCAAAGUAACUGAUGUUCUUCAAAACAUAACAGGUUAUGGGAAAAAAAAAGCAUCAAGAUUUUUAUAUAUUUACAGAAAUGACGAAAAUAUUAAAAUAUUUAAAAUAUUGAUGAAAAUAUUGAUGAAA